RNAcentral lists this long non-coding RNA (1539 nucleotides) under Sus scrofa (pig). Its description in RNAcentral is "lncRNA (ENSSSCG00045006239.1, ENSSSCG00055012555.1, ENSSSCG00160002497.1)". Lineage: Eukaryota; Metazoa; Chordata; Mammalia; Artiodactyla; Suidae. The record is from RNAcentral.
AGCUCAAAGGAGAUGUUUCCUGUCAAAGGCAUGCUGAAGAAGGAGGAGGAGAAGCAGCAGCAGCAUUCUUCGCUGCAACAACUGUCGGCCGCUUUAUUUUCUACAAUCUUUUUAGAUCAAGGGUCCUUAGACUUGAUGGCUAGUUGGAAUCUCCUGGGAAGCUUUAAAUUUCCAGAUGCCCAGGCCCCAACUCAGACCACUUACAUCUGAGUCUCGGAGGAGGGUGGGGUGAGAGGGAAACGGGGCAUCAGUAUUUUUCAGUGCUUCCCAAGCGACUCCAACGUGCAGGACUGGCUGUUCGGGAAUCUGAGCAGGCUUUCCAGAGGCACCGGCUAGUGGAGGAUGUGUGUGUGCGAGAGACCCGGGGUCCUGCUCUGCCUCUAGGCCUGGCUUGGAGAUGCCGGGUCUCCGGGUUCCCGCAGGCACCCACACGUGCGGCCGCGGCGACGAGUCUGGUCAUCUGCGGAGACGGCCAGCGGGGCUCGGCGGCCGCCACGCUGCCCACCCCAACCACAGAGGUUCGCAGGAGACGCCCGGGGCUCAGGAAUCUUACCUUGGCUGCCGGCGCUGCCCUCCAGUUCCCGGAAUCCUGGGACUCGGGUUCGAUCUGUCGCCGGGCUCGGCGGUCGCUCUCGUCUGCGCCGGAGAGGCGCCCACCAAGAGCUCAGGCGCCACCUAGUGGGCGAGGGGCGGCCGCGCAGGGAAUCGGUUGGGAGGUGGGAGCGCAGGCGGAUUCAGGCGGAAAUGCAGCCCGGGCUUCCCACGUGGGCGGUUUUCCAACAAGCUGCGCACCCCGGGCACACAUCCCGGCUGGGUGGGACGGCCUUCACUCCCUGAAGGGCGCUAGGACCUGAACUUGCUGAACUUUCUGUUGGGAGCUCGGAGGGGCAGCCAGACCCUGGCUGCUGGCCUGAGAGCCAUCCUGGGAUUUUCCUGGCCCGACUCGGGGAUCUUAGCCUUUCAUCCAGAAGCUUUUCAAUUUGGCAUAGCCUGCCCUUUAAAUAUGCUGGGAACAUCAGAAGAUGCAAGGGACCUGGGUUUCUCUCAAGGCCGGGAGGCCUUUUCUCUACUUCUCUACUAGUAACCCUCUUUUGGCCCUGCCUAACCCCCCUCCACUGCCGCCACCCCCCGUCCCCGCCCCAGCCGUUGCCUUCCUACCCGGUUCCCUCCAGUCUCUUUGGCUGAACUUCAUUAAUCGCCCAGUCUGUGUCACAUUCUGUAGAGUCUGGAGACACAGGUCCCUUAGGAAUUGGCAAGUUGAUGUUUAUGUUUCUGAACCGGAUGCCAUUGACAUUUUUUUUGGUUGGGGCCAUCCUGGCACUGCAGGGCAUUUAAGACCCCUAGAAUAGCCACCCUUUAGUCACCGAGACAACUAAAACCAACAUUUCAUAUUUCCAAUUGUCUCCAGGGUUGGAGGAGCACUGCCCUUGACUGAGCACCUAUUAAUUGGUUCUCAAGGUCAGGAAGAUGGUGGAUUAUUUUAAAUGUGUACAUUUCAUUUAUUUCUUCCUUCAAUAAAUGUUAACUGAGCACCUACUA